Molecule: ribosomal RNA, 260 nt
Filed under: Staphylococcus aureus
Lineage: Bacteria; Bacillati; Bacillota; Bacilli; Caryophanales; Staphylococcaceae
Description: partial 16S ribosomal RNA
Rfam family: Bacterial small subunit ribosomal RNA
Source: RNAcentral
UAUAGAUGGAUCCGCGCUGCAUUAGCUAGUUGGUAAGGUAACGGCUUACCAAGGCAACGAUGCAUAGCCGACCUGAGAGGGUGAUCGGCCACACUGGAACUGAGACACGGUCCAGACUCCUACGGGAGGCAGCAGUAGGGAAUCUUCCGCAAUGGGCGAAAGCCUGACGGAGCAACGCCGCGUGAGUGAUGAAGGUCUUCGGAUCGUAAAACUCUGUUAUUAGGGAAGAACAUAUGUGUAAGUAACUGUGCACAUCUUGA